RNAcentral lists this ribosomal RNA (468 nucleotides) under uncultured bacterium. RNAcentral's name for it is "partial 16S ribosomal RNA". It matches the Rfam family "Bacterial small subunit ribosomal RNA", at positions 28 to 507 of the family's 1533-position model. The record is from RNAcentral.
GACGAACGCUGGCGGCGUGCUUAACACAUGCAAGUCGAACGGAAGGGCCCUGCUUUUGUGGGGUGCUCGAGUGGCGAACGGGUGAGUAACACGUGAGUAACCUGCCCUUGACUUUGGGAUAACUUCAGGAAACUGGGGCUAAUACCGGAUAGGAGCUCCUGCUGCAUGGUGGGGGUUGGAAAGUUUCGGCGGUUGGGGAUGGACUCGCGGCUUAUCAGCUUGUUGGUGGGGUAGUGGCUUACCAAGGCUUUGACGGGUAGCCGGCCUGAGAGGGUGACCGGCCACAUUGGGACUGAGAUGCGGCCCAGACUCCUACGGGAGGCAGCAGUGGGGAAUAUUGCACAAUGGGCGGAAGCCUGAUGCAGCAACGCCGCGUGCGGGAUGACGGCCUUCGGGUUGUAAACCGCUUUCGCCUGUGACGAAGCGUGAGUGACGGUAAUGGGUAAAGAAGCACCGGCUAACUACGUG